GGAAUGGAGGCAGAGAAAUCACGUGUCAGUCUGGGGUGCUGAGGCUGGUGCUCAAGACGUUUCACCUCUGUCACUGGCACAGGGUCUAAGAGCUCAAGGUUUGAACUUGGAGGAUCCUGUUGAUCCAACGGCUUUCCCCCCAGGCCCGGGUUGGAUAGCCUGUAUUCUAAUCUGGACCCAGCCCUGGGUCAGCUCCCAUACCAGCUAAACAACUUCCAACAGCGUCCUGCCCAACGUGCCACACCCAUCCCACUCGGUCCUGUUUUCUCUGCUGCGCUCCCAACUCUGCCCAAGGCAAUUAGUCUCGAGGCCCCCAGACUAGCUGCUGCCAGCCGGGACCCAUCUGAACCGACGGCCUUCAUCAAAAGCCCCACAGAAAUAGUACAGUCAAGAGGCCCCACCAGAAGCUGUCUGGAGAAGAGAGCGAGAGCAAGAAACCCGGCCAGGCACCAAGACCACCUGAACAAACACAACAGGCUCUACACAUGUGCCCUCUCUGACCUCCACUGCUGCAGGUGAAUGGAUGUGUUAGGGGGGCACAGAGAGGAGGAGCAAUGGGAAGAAGUGAAAACAAUCCAUUCAAGGUAAACAGUGGCACUGCUUUGGCUCAGCUGAUCUGCUUUAACAAAUCUGCUGAAAAACGUAACCACCUAGGAACAGGAUUCUGGAGUCCACCGGAAAAAUGAGCAUUUUCUUCUCCUGCCCCUAUCUGAAUGACACACAGGAGGAUUAGGACUGCAGAUGCUUGAGAAAGCAGCCACAGGAAGAGGACACACAGGAGGAUUAGGACUGCAGAUGCUUGAGAAAGCAGCCACAGGAAGAGGAGAAGAGCAGUGUCGAAGUGCUGGCACCAGCGAUUCCUAAGACAUCACAACCUACCCCAGGCACCACUGCUUACAGGUGGCAGACCAUGUCACCAGGUGCACGCAGGGCACAGCCCCAUCCUCAAUCACACUCAGGCCUAAUCUACCACUACCUGUAAAGCCUUCACCCAGCCCCAGAGCCUGACCUCCUCCCUGACCCAUAACUAUCUCCUGGCUUAAAUCUUUUGUUUCAGGGUGAUGGAGGGCUGCUGCUGGUUCAUGAAGACUGGCAAGGUGGCCGUGAAGGACAGCACUGACCACAUCCAAGACACUAGACGGUAUGCAUCCCUUCUCUUCAGAGGACACCAAAAUGUAAAACCAGAAAUCCCACAGCCCCUCACUACUUUAUCUGGACCACCUUCAGCAAGAAAGCUGGGGUGGGGUUCCAAACAAGUCACUGUCUUCAUGAGAAAAAAACACUCUGAAGCCCAACCCAGGUGAAGACAAUGUUGAUUUCCGGCUCCAGUGGUGCAGUAUUCCCUGGGCUAUCACACUGCAUUAAAAAACCCUCAGAUUUCAGGUGAAGAGAACAAGGUCGCCUCAAGUUGCCAGUCCCAGUAAAAACAAACAGGCAUUAACUUUUGGAUGGCCAAGGAGGAUGCUUCCCUCAGCAUCACCUAACAUCAUUAAUUGACUCUUCCAAAAUGGCAGAAAGGGACCACUGAAAUUAAGUCAUCCAAUUUCCUGAAUGCACUUGGGGGACUGAAAUCAGAGGAGAAGAUGUGUCUGACUUAGAAAAACUCAGUAAAGGCUUGUUGGUUAAAGUGGCACAAAGCAGAUUAUGAAUUCCAACUUGGGACAUGGCUUUGUCUAUUUCUAGGCAACAGGCUUGCUCCAAGUUUUAGGUUGGAGCUGUAGCCAGAGCCAGAUGAUCAGUGGGGCAGAGAAGGAACCGCCUAUUGAUCUCCCCAUCCCUCUGGCAUCAGGCUUCCAGAGAAGAACUGACCUUCUCUAUCUUGAACUGACAGUGCACAGAAGAGAUUCAAUUUUAAGAAACACGUACUGAACCUCUGCUCUUUACCAGGCUCUGCAUUAGCCACGUGAGAUAAAGUAGCUCAGUACGUUCUCACAAUAAUUCCGUGGCUUUGGUUUUCUUAUCUGUAAGAUCAGAACCAAACAAGCCACUUCAUCCCCCUGAGGCUGAGUCACGUACUCCUGGGGUCGGACUGACGAGGUAUGGACUGUGGCUGACACACAUCUGCCGUGUGAUAUUGGGCCUGUUAGUUGACUGCUUGGAACCUCAGCUUUCCACAGUAGAUGGAUGUAGGGAUUAACUGGAAGCUCAUAUGGAAAUAGCUUACCAUUGGGCCUGACGUAUUAAACACAAGUUCUUCCUUUCCUAAUUCCAGAUGCAGUGCUCCUGGGAGCUGUGGUACAGUCAAACGGUGGUAACUGGGGCGUGCCUGGCUGCCUUGAAUGAUUAAGAGCAUGUCUAUCUUCCUACCUGGAGUCCACUCUAAGUGAAACGGGGAUCUGGAAUGAGGUGGCCCCUCACGUUCUGUAAAACGCUGCCAAAAUUAUAAAACUUGGAUUUAAUUCGACCAGAAACCAGGGCUGCGCUGGGAAGCAGCAGAACCCCUUCCACCCCUGGGAACAGGGCCAUGUUUUGAAGUCUCACAGGAUCCUGGAGGUGAAAGUCCAAUUUAGGGAAGACAGCUGGAUUCCGAGAAGACGGGUGAGGGCAGAGAAGGAGGAACAAGAGAGGUACACAGGAAGAACUGCGGCACUCCCUACGGAGUGGACAAAUAACUACCAAGUAUGUGACUCUGAAUUAGAAAGGGAAACGGGCAGAAGAAAACGAAGGGCUGUUACCGUUAACAUUUUUGUCUGUCUGGAGGACUAAAACACGUCAUAAUUCAGAACCACAGUGCCCAAUACGAGUUCCUGGUCAAUGCAUUCCAGUACAAAGGCAGUCUAAUUAGAAACCAGGGACUUCCCUGACGGUCCAGUGGUUAAGACUCCGUGCUUCCACUGCAGGGGGCACAGGUUCGAUCCCUGGUCAGAGGACUAAAAUCCCACAUGCCCCGUGGUGCAGCCAAAAACCAACCAACCAACACACAACACUAACAUAACACUCUAUUUCUGACUCGAAGAGAACCCCAGGAGUAAGGCUCUACCGUAUGAGAGCGUCUUCCUGGUAGCACCUCUCCUGCCAGAGCACGUCUCUGAAAAAGGAGGUGGGACCACAGGGGCAGGCGAAGAGUUGAUUUAAAUUCUCUUGAACCAACUUCCAGAGGGCACAAUCCAGAAUUAGCUAGAUAUUCAAAUGUUUUAUAUUUUCAACAGAUAUCGAGAUGGGAUCUGCAUUUCCACAAGGACUGAAUGGAAGGGUCUAUAAUGGAAACUGCUGUCUUGAAAAUACCCCAGGAUCUAGUACGCCAGAACCCUGAAGUUCAUGCCUAUAACACACACCCUGGUGGUGGUACUGAACACCAGGCACGAGAAUGGUUUCAGGAGACUGUUCCAACGACAAGGUCCCCAUCCUUGAACUGGCAAGCCCGAGAGUCAUGUACACCAUAGCUCUAGGGAGACUCAGUGGAAGGGACCUGAGGUUUUACUGCUGUUUGUUAGAGAACUAGAACAGGGAAGCUUCCUAUCAGGCCAACACUCAGAGGUCUCUUGUGUGAUAGCCAUAGAAGAAGCGCUAAUUGGGCGGCUCUUUCAUACUGGGAGAAUCACCGAGAGCAGA
Long non-coding RNA from Physeter macrocephalus (sperm whale), 3552 nucleotides. RefSeq lists it as uncharacterized. Lineage: Eukaryota; Metazoa; Chordata; Mammalia; Artiodactyla; Physeteridae. The record is from RefSeq and is a predicted model, not a curated record. The transcript is spliced from 3 exons.